RNA transcript from Nyctereutes procyonoides (raccoon dog), 2362 nucleotides. It is a transcript of the gene named decaprenyl diphosphate synthase subunit 1, with no coding region annotated. NCBI's taxonomy places the organism in Eukaryota, Metazoa, Chordata, Mammalia, Carnivora, Canidae. The transcript has 11 exons. The record is from RefSeq and is a predicted model, not a curated record.
GGCCACAGGCGGAGCCAGCGCUCCGCCGCGGCUUUCGGACUCGGACCAUGGCCUCGUGCAGGUGGCCCUGGCGGCGCUGCUGCUCCUGGAGGCCGGCGGCCCGGAGCCCCGGGCCCGCCUCGCCUGGCCGCGCAGGGCCGCCCGGGCCGCCCUCCGCCGCGGACGCUGGCGCUCAGAUGUCCUAUUUUAAUCUUGUGAAGAGUCUAACAUCUGCUUUUCCAAAUAGGUAUAGUAUGUCAUGGUUCCACCACACAACGUCAGCAGUGUGCUGUUGUAGUAAAACACAGAGUGGCGAGAAAUACACCGAUCCUUUCAAACUUGGUUGGAGAGACUUGAACGGUCUGUAUGAGGACAUUAGAAAGGAACUACUCAUAUCUACAACCGAACUUAAGGAAAUGUCUGAAUACUACUUUGAUGGUAAAGGAAAAGCCUUUCGACCAAUUAUUGUGGUGCUAAUGGCCCGGGCAUGUAAUAUUCAUCACAGUAACUCCCGAGAUGUGCAAGCAAGCCAGCGCUCCAUAGCCUUAAUUGCAGAAAUGAUCCACACUGCUAGUCUGGUACACGACGAUGUCAUUGACGAUGCAAGUUCUCGGAGAGGAAAACACACGGUUAAUAAGAUCUGGGGUGAAAAGAAGGCUGUUCUUGCUGGCGAUUUAAUUCUUUCUGCAGCAUCCAUGGCUCUGGCACGAAUUGGAAAUACCACUGUUAUAUCUAUUUUAACGCAAGUUAUUGAAGAUUUGGUGCGUGGUGAAUUUCUUCAGCUAGGGUCAAAAGAAAAUGAGAAUGAAAGAUUUGCACACUACCUUGAAAAGACCUUCAAGAAGACUGCCAGCCUGAUAGCCAACAGUUGUAAAGCAGUCUCUGUCCUAGGAUGCCCGGACCCGGUGGUGCAUGAGAUUGCCUAUCAAUACGGAAAAAAUGUGGGCAUAGCCUUUCAGCUGAUAGAUGAUGUGUUGGACUUCACCUCAUGUUCUGACCAGAUGGGCAAACCAACGUCCGCGGAUCUGAAGCUUGGCUUAGCCACGGGCCCAGUCUUAUUUGCUUGCCAACAGGAUUACUAAUACCGUGGUGGUGGUUACAGGACAACAACUUCAGACUCCCUGCCAGGGAAAAACUGGCAACUGCUGUAAGCGCUGAUGUGUCCAAAACCAAACAUAUCCUACCUCUUAUUUCAUGGAACCAGAAGCUGUUAGAGCUGAUGGGGAGGCUAGGACCUCAGGUUAUGGAGCUCACUCAACUGUGGAGGCACCAUGACUGGAGUUCCCAUGUAGAAAAUGAAGGGAUCUGGUGUCCUGACUUCCUGAUUUUGUUCACGGUGACAAUUCUCUGAAUUGUUGCUUAGUAUUGCGGAAUACAGAAUUAACUACAGUAAUGUGACUGGCCUGUCUACCUCUGUCUCCUAAUUCAGUGGUUCUCAAGCUUGGCUGCACAUUAAAAACCCCUGGAGUGCUUCUAAAAUCCUUAUGCACAAGCCGGACCACCCCACACCUCCCACUCCACCCUCUGCCCCAGCUAAUAAUAGAAGCAGAAUCUUUGGGAGCAGAUCCAGGCCACCAUGAACUUCCCAAGCGACUCCAGUGUGCAGUCAGCAUUGAGUACCCCUGCUCUGAUCCGCUUGACAAGCUGCUGAGGUAGAGCUCUGCUCAGAACACCCUCUGCCUGGAUACCUCAGUAGCUUUCAGGUGUCACCCAGUUUAGCACUACAAGUAGAAUGCCUAGAAUUCCCAGCCUGCUCCUAGGCCACUGCUUCUCAAACUGUCAGCAGGGUCAACAGAGUCCGUAUCAUCAGAACCUGUUAGAAAUGCAUGCUCAGGCCCAACCUACUCAUCACGAAACUUGGAGGGAGUGGCCCAAUAGGCCUCUGGUGAUCUGGUGCAAUCUAAAGUUUGAGAACUACAAGAGAAGCCACUAAGGAGAUUUUAGGGACGUACUUUGUUCCUUUGCUCUUUUUACUCAGUGUUGGACCGAGGAUAGAAUAGAACACCAGAAAGAACGAGGACCAAUAGUUACCUCUCCUGAGCAGCAGCUCAGUCCCUGGGCAUGGAAAAAGGAGGUCUCUUAGCUCUGCUUCUUUAAUUGCUACAAUUUACUGCCCACCCCCCACCAUCUAAACAUUUAAUCCUUUUUGGAUUUUUCUCCUGUUGUUGCAAACUUAGUGUUAGAACAUUUGAUUCUCACAAGAGCAAUAAAUAGAUUUCUUUCUUUAUGGUUAGUUCCCAGAAAUGAACGCUAUGAUAAUGAGACGGUUCAGUUUGCCUGGAGAUGUGGACAGAGCUCGACAAUAUGUAUUGCAGAGUGAUGGUGUGCAGCAAACAACCUACCUCGCGCAGCGGUACUGCCAUGAAGCAAUCAGAGAAAUCAG